RNAcentral lists this long non-coding RNA (1036 nucleotides) under Gallus gallus (chicken). Lineage: Eukaryota; Metazoa; Chordata; Aves; Galliformes; Phasianidae. The record is from RNAcentral.
CUCGGGGUGUGCGUCACGGCAUUUGGCCGUUGGCUUUAUCUGAGAAGCCCCUUGGCACGUUGAGGUCUGUGCCUCCGUGCAGCCUAGGGACAGGUCACAGGCUCUUGUCUGUUGCCCGUGGUUGUGGGUUUAUUCCCAGGUGUUGGCUGUGCUGCGUUGUCCUUCCCUUCUGGAAAGUCGUGCCUGUGUGUGCGUGUUCCCCUUCCUUUCCUUGUUUGUGUUUGUGGAGUGGUUGAGCGGCUGUGCUUUCCCUUUAGGCCUCCACAAAGAUGGCUGCAGCUUAGCUUUGACUUCCCAGGGGGGAAUGGAGGACUUUGGUGCAUGCCGCAAAAGGGGUGUUCCCUCUUAGUCCUGCGAGCGCAGCGAGUGUCCUGUCUUCCUACUAUUUCCUUAGUGCAGAUCAGAGCCACACGGUAGUUCUGUGGCCAAGGCCUCCCUGUAGCCAGGGCUUGGGCCUGUCCUUGCGUGGCCGCCUGUCCUGCUGGCGGCGGUGACAGCCCCGUACUCGGGGUGUGUGUCCCAAGCUUCGGAGCCCUCUGUCCCUGAGCAGCCCGCCCGCCCUGUAAUCAGGUGUGGGGAGGCUGCAGCGUUGCAGCCGGCUGCUUUAGCCAUCCAGCUGGUGGGAGUGACCCCUCCCUGUCCCGUCAGAGGGUGCAGGUUGAGGUGCUGUUUGUGUGUGGGGUGACCUCCCCGCUCGGUGGGUCGAGGUAGCUCCCUGGGCUUCCAAAGACGAGACGUUGGUGAUGUUCUGCUGCUGCCGGGCGGGCCAGCCUGUAACUCAGGCGUUGGCGGGAGCCUCGUGCUCUGCGGGGCUUCUUGAAGAGGGUGAGGUGUGGGGGUACCGUCCUGUAGGCAGGGCUGUGUGUGCCCCCCGUGUGUGCUUGGUGAGCUGCGUUCUGAGAGACCCCCUGUACUCAGGUGGGAAUGUGGCCCCGGCCUUUCAGAGGCGCGGGGCCGUGAGAUGCGGGGUGGGGCUUGCGCCCUCCCUGGAAUCGGGGCUGGGAUCCCGACUGCGGCCUUUGGCCGUGCCGCCCCG